This is a long non-coding RNA of Pseudoliparis swirei, 321 nucleotides long. RefSeq lists it as uncharacterized. The record is from RefSeq and is a predicted model, not a curated record. The transcript has 3 exons. Lineage: Eukaryota; Metazoa; Chordata; Actinopteri; Perciformes; Liparidae.
GCAUAAUUUGCCAAAAAAAGGAGAAGUUCGUCAACCGAGCAGGCAAACGACAAAGGGAUACUCUGUCAAAGGCUGAAACAUUAACAGCAGGCCAAUAGCAGAAAGCUGCCGAGUUGAAGGAGGACCAAAGUAUUCUUUUGCAUAUAAAAGACAAAGACUGUGUGGCUCUGGAGGUGCAGUGCCACAAAGGCUGUUAUAAUCAGUACACCAGGUUUUUGACGAGGCCUGAAAAACCAGAGAAAGACCAGGAGGAGUCAACACGACCGUUCGCCAUGGAGGCAUCUACGUCAAAGCUGUCAUCCCCAGAGGAGCAGCUGAGCU